This 493-nucleotide ribosomal RNA is filed under the name uncultured bacterium. RNAcentral's name for it is "bacterial SSU rRNA". It matches the Rfam family "Bacterial small subunit ribosomal RNA", at positions 899 to 1397 of the family's 1533-position model. The record is from RNAcentral.
ACUCAAAGGAAUAGACGGGGGCCCGCACAAGCAGUGGAGUAUGUGGUUUAAUUCGAAGCAACGCGAAGAACCUUACCGGGGCUUGACAUGGAGGUGACAGGCAUAGAGAUAUGCUUUUCUUCGGACACCUCACACAGGUGGUGCAUGGUUGUCGUCAGCUCGUGUCGUGAGAUGUUGGGUUAAGUCCCGCAACGAGCGCAACCCUUAUCAUUAGUUGCUACAUUCAGUUGAGCACUCUAACGAGACUGCCCUUUUACGAGGGAGGAAGGUGGGGAUGACGUCAAAUCAUCAUGCCCUUUAUGUCCCGGGCUACACACGUACUACAAUGGCAUUUAACAAUGGGUAGCGAAGCCGCGAGGUGGAGCCAAUCCCCAAAAAAUGCCUCAGUUCAGAUUGCAGGCUGCAACUCGCCUGCAUGAAGUCGGAAUUGCUAGUAAUCGUGAAUCAGCAUGUCACGGUGAAUACGUUCCCGGGCCUUGUACACACCGCCCGU